This 72-nucleotide microRNA precursor is filed under the name Taeniopygia guttata (zebra finch). RNAcentral's name for it is "Tgu-Let-7-P2a3_pre stem-loop". It matches the Rfam family "let-7 microRNA precursor family", at positions 7 to 78 of the family's 84-position model. Rfam says of the family: This family represents the microRNAs (miRNA) let-7 and mir-98. let-7 was identified from a study of developmental timing in C. elegans, and was later shown to be part of a much larger class of non-coding RNAs termed miRNAs. The extents of the hairpin precursors are not generally known and are estimated based on hairpin prediction. The record is from RNAcentral. Lineage: Eukaryota; Metazoa; Chordata; Aves; Passeriformes; Estrildidae.
UGAGGUAGUAGAUUGUAUAGUUGGAGGGUCACACCCCCGUCUCGGAGAUAACUAUACAUUCUACUGUCUUCC